Molecule: ribosomal RNA, 254 nt
Filed under: uncultured bacterium
Lineage: Bacteria
Description: partial 16S ribosomal RNA
Rfam family: Bacterial small subunit ribosomal RNA
Source: RNAcentral
UACGUAGGGUGCGAGCGUUGUCCGGAAUUAUUGGGCGUAAAGAGCUCGUAGGCGGUCUGUCGCGUCGGUCGUGAAAACUUGGGGCUUAACCCUGAGCUUGCGGUCGAUACGGGCAUGACUGGAGUUCGGUAGGGGAGACUGGAAUUCCUGGUGUAGCGGUGAAAUGCGCAGAUAUCAGGAGGAACACCGAUAGCGAAGGCAGCUCGCUGGGACGGUACUGACGCUGAGGCGCGAAAGCGUGGGUAGCAAACAGG